This 22-nucleotide microRNA is filed under the name Saccoglossus kowalevskii. Its description in RNAcentral is "sko-miR-4819-3p". The record is from miRBase by way of RNAcentral. Lineage: Eukaryota; Metazoa; Hemichordata; Enteropneusta; Harrimaniidae.
CGCGUCAGUUUUGUCCAUGCGG